RNAcentral lists this ribosomal RNA (27 nucleotides) under Lactarius semisanguifluus. RNAcentral describes it as "partial 28S ribosomal RNA". The record is from RNAcentral. Lineage: Eukaryota; Fungi; Basidiomycota; Agaricomycetes; Russulales; Russulaceae.
UGACCUCAAAUCGGGUGAGACACCCGC